UGGCUCAGGACGAACGCUGGCGGCGUGCCUAAUACAUGCAAGUAGAACGCUGAAGAGAGGAGCUUGCUCUUCUUGGAUGAGUUGCGAACGGGUGAGUAACGCGUAGGUAACCUGCCUUGUAGCGGGGGAUAACUAUUGGAAACGAUAGCUAAUACCGCAUAACAAUGGAUGACACAUGUCAUUUAUUUGAAAGGGGCAAUUGCUCCACUACAAGAUGGACCUGCGUUGUAUUAGCUAGUAGGUGAGGUAACGGCUCACCUAGGCGACGAUACAUAGCCGACCUGAGAGGGUGAUCGGCCACACUGGGACUGAGACACGGCCCAGACUCCUACGGGAGGCAGCAGUAGGGAAUCUUCGGCAAUGGGGGCAACCCUGACCGAGCAACGCCGCGUGAGUGAAGAAAGGUUUUCGGGAUCGUAAAGCUCUGUUGUAAGUCAAAGAACGAGUGUGAGAGUGGAAAGGUUCACACUGUGACGGGUAGCUUACCAGAAAAGGGACGGCUUAACUACGUGCCCAGCAGCCGGCGGGUAAUACGUAGGUCCCCAAGCCGUUUGUCCCGGGAUUUAUUGGGCCGUAAAGCGAAGCCCAGGGCGGGUUUGGAUAAAUUCUGAAAGUUUAAAGGCUGGGGCUCCAACCCAUAUUUGCCUUUUGGAAAAACUGGCCAAACUUGAAUGGCGAAAGGGGAAAGAGGGGAAUUUCCCUGGUGUGACGGGUGAAAUGGCGUGAAUAUAUUGGAGAAAACACCCGUGUGGCUAAAGCGGCCUCUCUGGGUCGUGUACACUAGACCUCUGAGAGGCUCCAAAAGCGGGGUGGACGCAGCACACC
RNAcentral lists this ribosomal RNA (825 nucleotides) under uncultured bacterium. RNAcentral's name for it is "bacterial SSU rRNA". It matches the Rfam family "Bacterial small subunit ribosomal RNA", at positions 20 to 779 of the family's 1533-position model. The record is from RNAcentral.